UUUUAAUAUGUGGACACAAAGACAGGCCUUUAAAACCCUGACUCUUGAUAUCUGAUGUAAAAAAUCAAUUAUACAGAACAUGCAAAGUAAGGCUUCUCUCCCUGUUUGGGCAGUGAGAGAAAAUGUGAUAAAACAGUUUCUUCAAGUAUAUUGUGGGGCUGAUUUCUCUUUUCAUAGUUUCAAGUCUGUCUGCAAUUUUUUUGGGAGAUUUGUAGAACCUUUCCAGCAAAGAUGAUUGCUUCAUCCAUCUUCCAAUCUGAUUGUAUCAAGGAUCUGUUUAGUGUGUGAAUUUGUCUUUACUUUUCUAAAGCUAUCUUGUGUCUUUCACGUAUCAGGUACAGAUGCUUUGAUUUAAGUCUUUACAUGGUGAGUAUUGUAAACUGCAGGUAUUGAAUGUUAAGCCAUUUCUUCACAAACUUGCUUCAGACAUGUUUGUUAAUCUGUAGAACCAGUAUUUUGUGUCAAUUCCUGCUUGGAUAGCAAAAGAAUAAGACUGAACAUGUGAUUUUGAUACUGCUUAUGAAGUGAACAUUUGCUUCAGGAAAGAAAGAAAGCAGAGGGCCCAACUUAGGAAUGUGAAAUUAAUUAAUUUUGCCUUGUUUACAUAUCUGUGGUAACUCUGUCCUUGAGUUGUAUGUAGAAUUAGAAUAAGUAUUCCUGUGGUUUCCUAAAUUCUAUAAAAUACACAAAUACAUCAGGAUAUUUCACUUAGAACUGUUAAUUUUUUUUGAAUCUGCAAAAAUAAUCUGUAAUAUGUCUACUCCUAUAGCAUUUCUACAGUCUGCUCCCUUGGAGUGCAACAUGUGCUGCCAAAUUCACUGUAAUGAAGAACACUUCAGUAUUGUGCCUGUCAGUUUGGAGAAAUGAUAAAUCUAUGCAAUAUAUUUUGUUACUUCAAAUACAGUGUCCAAAAGAAAGAAGAGCAGGUUGGGGGUGUUGUCGAGAAGGAAACUUGAAGCCUACAGUUUUCUCUUCAAGAGGAGGCUACUGGACCAGACAUUUCUCCCGUGUGCAAUAA
RNAcentral lists this long non-coding RNA (1018 nucleotides) under Parus major (Great Tit). Its description in RNAcentral is "lncRNA (ENSPMJG00000006639.1)". The record is from RNAcentral. Lineage: Eukaryota; Metazoa; Chordata; Aves; Passeriformes; Paridae.